CUUUGUUUUCUGCCAUCAGAGUUGGGAAACCUCAAUGCUCUCAAGUCAUUGAAAAUUCAUAGGUGUGAAGAGCUCUCCUCUUUCCAACAAGGUUUCCAGCACUUCAAGGCUUUAGAAAGUUUAGAAAUUUGUCACUGCCACUGUAUUUCUAUACCAGAGGGGAUUGGAAGUAUCAGUUCCCUCAGAAGUUUAUGCAUAGACAAUUGUGACAAUUUGACAUCAUUACCUUUGAGUUUGAAGAAUCUCACAUGUCUUGAGCACUUGACCAUCAUGAACUGUCGAAAUCUCGUGUCUUUGCCAGAGGACAUGCAUCGACUUUCUGCUCUUCAAAGUUUGACCAUCUUAAGCUGUUCCCAGGUUUUGUCUCUGCCUGAAGAGUUGCAGCAUAUCACAACAAUGCAUUGAGGUAUUGUGCUGUUCUCACAGCUUUGCCAGAAUGGAUUGGAGACACAGUCACUGUGAUAAUUGAUAAUCUCAGAUUGGCUUGGUCUGAAUCAAUUGCUACAAGAUCUGAAACGUCUAAAUACUCUUCUGCAUCGGUCAAUUCAAGGGUCCUGAAAUUUUGGAAAGAUGCAAAAAAGAAGUUGGUGACAAUUGGCCAAAAAUAAUCCGUGUUCCACACUAAAAUAUUGGAUCAACUGAGGUCAGUCAGCUGAAUGAAGCAGUCAGCUAGAUUUUAUUCUGAAGCAACCAACUUCCUGUCCAUUUUCAUUAACAUCGUUCUCAUGAUGAUAAAUAAUUUCUUUUCUUUCCAUCUUUUAUUGAUGUAUGGUCCCCCUUGUUACUUGUAUCCCAAUUAUCCCUGUACUGUUCAAACACUGUUGUCUGUAUAAUUUUCUUGUCAAUCACUGCUAUCUGUGACUCUAUAAUUUUCUUUCUCCAGAUAUAGAGAACAAAUCUCAAUUAUGAGCGAGGAUACUGUUCUAGAAAGCUAGAAAAGAGAUAAGAAUGGUAUAUUUUUAAAAGAGAAGUUAAAAUAAAUAAGAUAGUAUUGAUGAAUAAAACUUCCAAAGACAGAAUCCUGCUGGAAAAAAAAAAGGCUUUGCAAUCCCUAUAUUUUCUGAGUGGCUAUUCCUAUUCUUGUGAAAAUAUCAAAUUCUUCAUUCGUGGAUGCUGAUAAUCCUCAACAUAAACCAACAGAACAAGAACACUAGCGAUAUUAUCCAAGCAAAUAUUGGCAAGUUGUUGUACAAUAAGUAAAAAAUCUUAAAUUAUUAUGUCUAAGCCUUUGAUUUACACAAACGAAGAUGAAAUCUAUCAAUGCACAGGAACACAUCAACGGAAAAUGGAUAACCCAAAAGCUAGUGAUUUCGUCAUAGCACAACAGGUGAACAUCUGAACCAGUUCAGAGAAAUUCAAAAGUAAAAAAAGAAAAGGUUACCUGAAGGCAAGUAGACUCAGUCCCAUUUUUUAAUCCCCCAAAUUCAAUACUUCAAUAUCGCAUUAUCAAGUUCUCAUCAAAAUUUUUGGUUAUUAUUGGCCUCAAAUCCUACUUAAUUGGCUAUCACUGCCACUGGAAGCAACUCCAUUCAGGAUUUCUCAUCUGCUCUGCUCUGCUUCCGCUUGGAAACUGUUACCUGCUAUAACCGUUGGGAGUUGGCCUUGACGGAUAUCAGUAUUGAAUUCGGGGGAUUAAAACAUGGACUUUUGGGUGAAG
This 1657-nucleotide long non-coding RNA is filed under the name Manihot esculenta (cassava). Its description in RNAcentral is "long non-coding RNA (MESC_LNC006121)". The record is from RNAcentral. Lineage: Eukaryota; Viridiplantae; Streptophyta; Magnoliopsida; Malpighiales; Euphorbiaceae.